Molecule: transfer RNA, 85 nt
Filed under: Candidatus Falkowiibacteriota bacterium
Lineage: Bacteria; Candidatus Falkowiibacteriota
Description: tRNA-Ser
Rfam family: tRNA
About the family: Transfer RNA (tRNA) molecules are approximately 80 nucleotides in length. Their secondary structure includes four short double-helical elements and three loops (D, anti-codon, and T loops).
Source: RNAcentral
GGAGGGUUCGCAUAGUGGCCUAGUGCACACGCUUGGAAAGCGUGCAUACCGCAAGGUAUCGUGGGUUCAAAUCCCACACCCUCCG